RNAcentral lists this ribosomal RNA (253 nucleotides) under uncultured bacterium. Its description in RNAcentral is "partial 16S ribosomal RNA". It matches the Rfam family "Bacterial small subunit ribosomal RNA", at positions 524 to 776 of the family's 1533-position model. The record is from RNAcentral.
UACGGGGGGGGCAAGCGUUGUCCGGAAUUAUUGGGCGUAAAGAGCUCGUAGGCGGUUUGUCGCGUCGACUGUGAAAACCCGAGGCUUAACCUCGGGCCUGCAGUCGAUACGGGCAGACUAGAGUUCGGUAGGGGAGACUGGAAUUCCUGGUGUAGCGGUGAAAUGCGCAGAUAUCAGGAGGAACACCGGUGGCGAAGGCGGGUCUCUGGGCCGAUACUGACGCUGAGGAGCGAAAGCGUGGGGAGCAAACAGG